Molecule: ribosomal RNA, 1005 nt
Filed under: uncultured bacterium
Lineage: Bacteria
Description: bacterial SSU rRNA
Rfam family: Bacterial small subunit ribosomal RNA
Source: RNAcentral
AGAGUUUGAUCAUGGCUCAGAUUGAACGCUGGCGGCAUGCUUUACACAUGCAAGUCGAACGGUAACAGGCCGCAAGGUGCUGACGAGUGGCGAACGGGUGAGUAAUGCAUCGGAACGUGCCCGGUCGUGGGGGAUAACGCAGCGAAAGCUGCGCUAAUACCGCAUGCGAUCUGAGGAUGAAAGCGGGGGACCGUAAGGCCUCGCGCGAUUGGAGCGGCCGAUAUCAGAUUAGGUAGUUGGUAGGGUAAAGGCCUACCAAGCCAACGAUCUGUAGCUGGUCUGAGAGGACGACCAGCCACACUGGAACUGAGACACGGUCCAGACUCCUACGGGAGGCAGCAGUGGGGAAUUUUGGACAAUGGGCGAAAGCCUGAUCCAGCCAUUCCGCGUGCAGGAUGAAGGCCCUCGGGUUGUAAACUGCUUUUGUACAGAACGAAAAGGUCUCUAUUAAUACUAGGGGCUCAUGACGGUACUGUAAGAAUAAGCACCGGCUAACUACGUGCCAGCAGCCGCGGUAAUACGUAGGGUGCAAGCGUUAAUCGGAAUUACUGGGCGUAAAGCGUGCGCAGGCGGUUAUAUAAGUCAGAUGUGAAAGCCCCGGGCUCAACCUGGGAACUGCAUUUGAUACUGGCAGGCUAGAGUGCGGUAGAGGGUGGUGGAAUUCCCGGUGUAGCGGUGAAAUGCGUAGAGAUCGGGAGGAACAUCCGUGGCGAAGGCGGCCACCUGGACCAGCACUGACGCUGAGGCACGAAAGCGUGGGGAGCAAACAGGAUUAGAUACCCUGGUAGUCCACGCCCUAAACGAUGCGAACUGGACGUUGGUCUCACUUUGGAGAUCAGUGUCGAAGCUAACGCGUUAAGUUCGCCGCCUGGGGAGUACGGUCGCAAGACUGAAACUCAAAGGAAUUGACGGGGGCCCGCACAAGCGGUGGAGUAUGUGGUUUAAUUCGAUGCAACGCGCAGAACCUUACCUGGCCUUGACAUGUCCGGAACCCUGCAGAGAUGC